RNAcentral lists this ribosomal RNA (864 nucleotides) under uncultured bacterium. RNAcentral's name for it is "bacterial SSU rRNA". It matches the Rfam family "Bacterial small subunit ribosomal RNA", at positions 8 to 868 of the family's 1533-position model. The record is from RNAcentral.
AGAGUUUGAUCCUGGCUCAGAUUGAACGCUGGCGGCAGGCCUAACACAUGCAAGUCGAGCGGUAACAGAUCUAGCUUGCUAGAUGCUGACGAGCGGCGGACGGGUGAGUAAUGCAUAGGAAUCUGCCCGAUAGUGGGGGAUAACCUGGGGAAACCCAGGCUAAUACCGCAUACGUCCUACGGGAGAAAGGGGGCUUCGGCUCCCGCUAUUGGAUGAGCCUAUGUCGGAUUAGCUAGUUGGUGAGGUAAUGGCUCACCAAGGCAACGAUCCGUAGCUGGUCUGAGAGGAUGAUCAGCCACAUCGGGACUGAGACACGGCCCGAACUCCUACGGGAGGCAGCAGUGGGGAAUAUUGGACAAUGGGGGCAACCCUGAUCCAGCCAUGCCGCGUGUGUGAAGAAGGCCCUCGGGUUGUAAAGCACUUUCAGCGAGGAAGAACGCCUAUCGGUUAAUACCCGGUAGGAAAGACAUCACUCGCAGAAGAAGCACCGGCUAACUCCGUGCCAGCAGCCGCGGUAAUACGGAGGGUGCAAGCGUUAAUCGGAAUUACUGGGCGUAAAGCGCGCGUAGGUGGCUUGAUAAGCCGGUUGUGAAAGCCCCGGGCUCAACCUGGGAACGGCAUCCGGAACUGUCAGGCUAGAGUGCAGGAGAGGAAGGUAGAAUUCCCGGUGUAGCGGUGAAAUGCGUAGAGAUCGGGAGGAAUACCAGUGGCGAAGGCGGCCUUCUGGACUGACACUGACACUGAGGUGCGAAAGCGUGGGUAGCAAACAGGAUUAGAUACCCUGGUAGUCCACGCCGUAAACGAUGUCGACCAGCCGUUGGGUGCCUAGAGCCACUUUGUGGCGAAGUUAACGCGAUAAAUCGA